Long non-coding RNA from Ictalurus punctatus (channel catfish), 852 nucleotides. NCBI's taxonomy places the organism in Eukaryota, Metazoa, Chordata, Actinopteri, Siluriformes, Ictaluridae. The record is from Ensembl.
UAUGCUUCGAAAGUGUUACCAAAUUACCAAAUUGAUUGCUUUCAUAAUGAUGAAUUAAUGCAUGCACUAAUCCUAAUUGCAACAGAAAAUAAAUGCGUACAUUUAACAGUUUGGACAAUUUCAGACUCUUUGGUGUUUUUGUUUUGCAGCACUUCCAAUCCUGAAUGAAAUCUAAUUGUAUAAUUCUACAUAUAAAGGUCACCCCGGCACAAGUUUUACUCUGGAUGUUCUUCGUGACGCAACCCUCCCCAUUUUCCACACUUGAGACCAGCACUGAGAAUGGACUGUUAUGUGCAACCCUCCAGUGACUGGGGUCAAUUCUCUAACCAGGUAUCGAACCUGGACUGUGGUGAUGAGAGCGCCGCAUGGUAGCCACUAGCCCAUCAAGGAACUAAUUUGUGUAUCUUCUAAUAAAGGGCUUAUAUGAAUAUCAGUGAAUACUCAUUUCUACAUUCCCCUCAAAAAAGGACACCCAUUCAGAACCAGACCUUAUUGAGCUGUAUGGAGAAAUCAGCCUAUUUACUAUACAUUAAUUAAGACUUGGGGCCAUCACACCCACAUGUGGUUCUUCCCCAAACUGUUGAUACAAAAUUGGAAGCAGACAAUGGUCUAGAAUUUCUUUGUUUGCUGCCGCAUUACAAUUUCCCUUCAAUGGAACUAAUAGUUUGAACAUAUUCAAACAUGUUCAAGCAUGACUGACAUGAUUUCCCAAGGUUGAAGUGGCAGAACUCAAGUGUCCUGCACAGAUCCCUGACCUCAACCCCACUGAACACCUUUGGUAUGAAUUGGAAUGCCGACUGCAUCAAGGCAUCAGUGCCUGACCUCACUAAUGCUCUAGUGGCCAAAUCUGCA